GCUUGCUACCUAACCUAGCGGCGGACGGGUGAGUAAUGCUUAGGAAUCUGCCUAUUAGUGGGGGACAACAUUCCGAAAGGAAUGCUAAUACCGCAUACGCCCUACGGGGGAAAGCAGGGGAUCUUCGGACCUUGCGCUAAUAGAUGAGCCUAAGUCAGAUUAGCUAGUUGGUGGGGUAAAGGCCUACCAAGGCGACGAUCUGUAGCGGGUCUGAGAGGAUGAUCCGCCACACUGGGACUGAGACACGGCCCAGACUCCUACGGGAGGCAGCAGUGGGGAAUAUUGGACAAUGGGCGAAAGCCUGAUCCAGCCAUGCCGCGUGUGUGAAGAAGGCCUUUUGGUUGUAAAGCACUUUAAGCGAGGAGGAGGCUACCGAGAUUAAUACUCUUGGAUAGUGGACGUUACUCGCAGAAUAAGCACCGGCUAACUCUGUGCCAGCAGCCGCGGUAAUACAGAGGGUGCGAGCGUUAAUCGGAUUUACUGGGCGUAAAGCGUGCGUAGGCGGCUUUUUAAGUCGGAUGUGAAAUCCCUGAGCUUAACUUAGGAAUUGCAUUCGAUACUGGGAAGCUAGAGUAUGGGAGAGGAUGGUAGAAUUCCAGGUGUAGCGGUGAAAUGCGUAGAGAUCUGGAGGAAUACCGAUGGCGAAGGCAGCCAUCUGGCCUAAUACUGACGCUGAGGUACGAAAGCAUGGGGAGCAAACAGGAUUAGAUACCCUGGUAGUCCAUGCCGUAAACGAUGUCUACUAGCCGUUGGGGCCUUUGAGGCUUUAGUGGCGCAGCUAACGC
RNAcentral lists this ribosomal RNA (785 nucleotides) under Acinetobacter sp. 45. Its description in RNAcentral is "bacterial SSU rRNA". It matches the Rfam family "Bacterial small subunit ribosomal RNA", at positions 78 to 858 of the family's 1533-position model. Lineage: Bacteria; Pseudomonadati; Pseudomonadota; Gammaproteobacteria; Moraxellales; Moraxellaceae. RNAcentral also lists the same sequence under 1 other name. The record is from RNAcentral.